GGAAAGGGAGGCAAGAGGAGAGACCCGAGGCGGCCGCCGGUGUCAGGUGAACUGAACUUCAGGGUCAAAAAUGCUACACCUCUCACCGACACGCUCAGUGUGUCCUUUGGCAUUAGCGCUGUGACACACCAGAGGCUAUGGCUACUUUGACAGAGGUCUGUCAUUCCCAUCUUGUCACGUAUGAAGACUUAGGACCUCUUGGCAACACUUUGGAUGCACAGAGAGAACCAUUAUCUUUCAGCGCACACUGCAUCCGUGGGAGACCUUGUGAGUAUCUCUGCAACACCAGCAGCAUCUGUCAGAAUUGCAGAAUCAGACGCGCUGGGAUGAGAACAACUUUUAAAAACACUUUUAACAGCAGUGACAGCUGCAGCUUCGAUGUCCACAGCGUAACAUGAAGACAAAAAAUGCUUUCCAAAAACCAGCUACAGACAAGAAAUUGCAGCAGUGUUUCCAUAGAGCUGGGAAACAUGGUGAUACAAAAGUCUGUAAAGAAAAAGCAGUAAAGAAUUUCAAAUGUUUGCCACCCUAAGGCGAUGGCCUGUUCUGAUAUCAAUGUGAGUACAUUUGAGUACAUUUAGUGAUGAAGGAAAAAAAAAUAAAGUAUUCCUGCUGCAGAGACUGUGAGAUGCUAUUGGUGGAAUGGUGACUGAGAGAAACAUAAGAGCUGUAAAUAGGCCACCUUCUGAAACACUCAGAUUACUGCAAACACUAGACAAAAAGAUUUGCACACACACACACACACACACACACACACACACACACACACACACGUAAGAAUGCAGACAGACUUACGGACAAGGAUGGAAGAAUACAGAAAGAGGUGUGUUAUAAUUAUAGACGGUGAAAUGAACCAAAAACACUCGGUGCAGUGUUACAGCUUUUAAGAUUUUCAAUAUUCUUUGUUCCAUAAAACCUGACCCUCUCUUGAUAAGCAUCAGCAAAUAAUCCAGCAAUAUUCACCAAUUUUCAUCAAACAACCUCAGAUAAGGCCACUUUGUAGAAUUAAUGGUGACAAUUCUCAGUUGCAGACAACACUGUGGCUGCUGUCACAUUCUUUGCAUCACCUCAUCAACUAGGGACAGGUUUGAGGCCCUAUUUACCGCAGAGGGGACGUCAUCAUUGGUGCUUUGGCUCAUCCACUAUGGUCUGAGGUAAUCACUGGAAUAUUGUGUUACCUAAAGGAUACAUUUAUCUAAUCUGUUUAUUUAGACAUUAUUCUUAUGUGUGAUUAGAAAUAAGAUAAAUGAUUAAUCCCUGACUCACUGCUAUCAACUACAGCUAAUUAAUCCCUGUAAGAUUAGUAUUUUACAGGGAUUAAUAUGAACUGGAUGUCUAUGACUGCACAUAAUGAUGAUUAUAUGUAUUAACCAACUGUACAAAAACAACAAAUGUUAUAAAGUUGUCCAAAAUAAACCAGCUUCCUGUCCUCUAUAGGAAUCAUGAGCUGUAGAA
Oreochromis niloticus (Nile tilapia) is the source of this 1455-nucleotide long non-coding RNA. RefSeq lists it as uncharacterized. The transcript has 3 exons. NCBI's taxonomy places the organism in Eukaryota, Metazoa, Chordata, Actinopteri, Cichliformes, Cichlidae. The record is from RefSeq and is a predicted model, not a curated record.